AAGUAGUUCAUCUGUUUCCCCAAAAAAACAAGUUGAGAAAUGUAAUGAUAAAAAUUACAAAAUAAAUAAUAAACAGACGAGUGAUGUAAUAAAAGCUAGCAAAACAACAAAAAAUACAAAGUGUGUUACAAACUGUGUAACAAAACAAAAUAAAAUUAAUGUAUAUAAAGGGACUAACCAUAACAACACUCCUAACGUUUAUAAAAAGGUAAAGACAAAUUGUCAACCCAAAAGUUCCGAUGAUGAAAAUUUCCCUAAACUUAGAAGAAUAGAUAAUAAUAUUAAUAUAAAAAAAAAAAGUAUUAUUAAAUGAUAAUAAAAAAAUUUCAUCAGAAAAAAAACAAUAUAUAGAUAUUUUAUUGGCUGAUCGAUAUUCUUUAUGUACCAACAAAAAUAAAUUGUCGACAAUUAUGGAGGACUGUGAUAAUUGUGACGGCAAUGGUGAACAAAAAGAAAGGGGAGUAGAAGUUGAAUUAAAAAGAAAACAAUGUAAUCUGUUUUUUACUCCUUCCUACCAUACAGCUAGCCCACAUGAGAAUCCUCAAUAUUACACACAAGACAAAAAUUCCGGUGAAAAUUUUGACAAAUAUUAUUAUCAAGAAGUUCAAAAUGUUGAUAUGAUUCAUUCGAAAGAGCAAGAGAAUCAAUCGUUACAUUUUUCUAAUGAACAGGACACUACACAAGUUACUAAACAUGUUACUACACAAGUUACUACACAAGUUACUACACAAGCCACUGCCCAACCCACAACAACUAACCGAUUUAACAACAAAAUAAAUAACAAAGGGAAAGAAAUAAAAACUAAUGUAUUACCAUUACAAAAAAAACCAAUUGUUUUACGUGAAAAAGAGAAAAAACCAAUUACAUAUAAUACUAUAAACGAUAAAAUAGAUAUGAGUAAAAAAUUUAGUAAAGAAUUGUAUCCUCUUGAAGUGUUAGUUUCUUAUAAGUGUAAAAAUAUAUAUAUCAAAAUUAAUGUUGACACAAAUAAUGAAACUUUAAUAAAACACACUCAACAUAAAAUAUCAAAAAGAAGUUUGGAAUUUAAACUGGUUACAACUAAGGUUCUAGAUGGCUGUGUUCAAUCAACUGAAAGUAAAGUAUAUAAAUCUUCUAAUAUUAUAUUACAAAAUCCAAAAACAGAAAUUUUUUAUAAUAUGGCUGUUCAUGUAUAUAGUACUACUAUACCGAACUUAUGGUUAUAUGCAUCUGUUUCUUUUUAUUUAACCAAAUUUAAUAUAAAAAAAUUAAAAAUAAAAACACCGUAUCCUGUUAAUAUUGGUAAAAAUGUAGAUACAGAGAAUGAUACAAUUUAUAAUGAAGUUAGUGUAGGAGCAGUUGGUGUAGGAGCAGUUGGUGUAGGAGCAGUUGGUGUAGAAGCAGUUGGUGUAGAAGUAGUUGGUGUAGAAGUAGUUGGUGUAGAAGCAGAAAAAAAAACAGUUUCGUCUUAUGAACAAUCUGAUAUAACUUACGAAAUUGAAAACACCGAUUUAAAACAGAGUAAUGCAAAGAGUACCAUAUCGAUCACUUCAGUAAACAAAAGUGGUGCAAAACAAAAAAAAACAGUUGGAACAAAUUGGAAUGAAGAUGAAAAGGUUAGUACGUCUUCUGUUGAAAUGGAGCCUUGUCAAAAUCAAAGAUUAAACCAAAAAGAUUCACCUUUAAAUAAUUCAAUAAGAAAUAAAAAGUUUGUUAUGUGUGAUAAUGAUAAGGAGACUAAUAAUACCAAAGUUCAACAGAUAAACAAUUUAAAUAACCCAAUAAAAAAAAAUAAAAUUGGGAAAAAAAUUGUUAAGGAAGAAAAUCAUAGUGGCAGUAGAAAACCUAAGUCUAAAAAUUGUUUGUACAAUAUGUAUGAAACAGUAAACAAAGAAGUGUAUUUAGACAGUUGUACAAGUUCCGAUGAUGUAUUAUUAAAUUUUCAUGAUCUUAAUAAUAGUAAAAUAAAAAAUGAUUUUGAGCAAGUUUAUUAUGAAAAAAAUAACAACAAGGAUGUUACUAACAUGCGAACAGAAUAUGUAGAUGAAGAAGAUGGUGAUGAUUUUUCUAAUUUGGUGAAAUUUGAUAUGAUGAAAGUUUAUCAACAGGACCAGGAAGAGGAACAAUCACAAGAGAAGGAACAAUCACAAGAGAAAGUGCAAAACCCUAAUCAAUAUAAAAAAUCUAACAUAUCACGUAAAGAUUAUACAAGUGGUAAAAAAGUAAACUUCAAAAAUUAUCUAUGUAUGAACAAUCCUAAUAAAAAUAACAAUACGUCAAACAGUCCAACAAUGUUAAACAAAAAAAGUACACCUGCCAAUGUAUCAACGCCUGAAAAAAGGUUUAAUAAAAUGGACAAAGACAUUUUUAAAUUUUCUGAAUUUAUUUUAGAAAAAAGGAAUAACAACAUUCUUCCUGAUACUAAUACUACUACUGAUAAUAAUGAUGAUGAUGGUGUAGACUGUACCUACAACACAACCAGUGCAUAUCCCAUAUCUGACCAUAAUAACGCACUUCUUGUUAAUAGUACUAAGCAAUCCCAAAAUAUAAUAGAAGUAAAACCAUUUUCAAAAAUAACAGACGUAGAUGUUAGUUAUAUAAAUACAUACAAAAACAAAAAAAAAAACACUGAUUAUGUUGAUAAUGAUAUAAAUAUAUAUUCUCAAGAAAAUGUAAAAAAUUUUAGUAGAUAUAGCAACAGUGAUAGUAUCACAGAAUCAUCUGUUUCAAAUGUUAUGAACGAUGAAGAUUUAUCAAAUAACAAAAAAUAUAGUGAAGGACAGGGUAGUAAUAAUAAUAAUGAAUUAUUUAUAAGAAAUAUAAAUAGUAAUAUGGGUGAAAAAAUAAAUAUAACAAACUGUUUAACCCAUACAAAUUAUUAUACUAAUAAAAAUCCUGUUUAUGAUGAAAAAUUAAGUAGUUUAGAAUUUGUAAAUUCAUUAAAAACGAGUAUGAAUAUUGAUUUAGAAAAUUGCGAUGUACAUAAUUAUCCUAUCGAUACAUUUCCGGUAGUUCCAUUACUUGAAAAUGACAGUGGUAGCGAUAACAGAGGCGAUAACAGAGGCCACAACAGAGGCGAUUACCGAGGUGACAACAGAGGCGAUUACCGAGGUGACAAGAGUAACAGUAGCAACUGUAGUAACGACAGUAACGAAGAUAGAAAAUAUAGAGAACAUGGUCAUAGGUUAUAUUCAUCAUGUGAUGAUAUAACAGUAGACCAUUCAAAUGGAUUUGUACCUGACUUAGAAAUGUAUGAACAAAAAGAUCCUCAAUUGUACUCAAGAAAUGUAGAAACACAAGAAUCUUUGAUUGAUUCGUCAUAUGCAGUUACUUAUAUUGAAUCAGAAGGAGAAGAAAGUGAAAAUAGAGAAACACAUCAAUAUGGUAUGCAGUCUGAAAGCUCAACUGCGUUAUAUAGAAAUAGAGAUAACAUUUUAAUGGAAAAAAAAAUGGGUAAUAACAUGGGUAAUAACAUGGGUAAUAACAUGGGUAAUAGUAAAGUAUUUAACCAUAGUAAUAAAAAUAUAUCGAAAUUAUCUCCUACAUAUAAUAUAUAUAAUAAUCAUAAACCAGAACCAGCAAAGAGUAACUAUCAAUUUGGUAAUAAUGUGGAAAUAAUAAAAAAUCCACAAAAAUAUCAAAGAGAUUUUAGAAACAGAAUUGUAAGUAAAUUCGAUAAUUUUAAUUUGACUAAUGCAUUUAAAAGUAUUUUACGUAAAGGUUCCUUAUCAAAAAUUGAAAGGAAGACAGAUGAAAAAAAAUGUAUUAGUAUAUUAAAAAAAAGAGUAUAUAAUUCUGAUGGGGUAUUAUAUACAAAUAGAGUUAGAAAAAAUGUGAGGUUUGCAUUUGAUUAUGAAGACAACGAGGAUGAUAAUAAUAAAUUUGAAGUUGUAAGUGGAGGUAGUACUAGUAAUGGUAACAUGAUUAAUCACAGUCCAGUUAAAAAUAAUCCAAGUAAUGUCACCUCAAGUAAUGUUACCCCAAGUAAUACUACUUUAUAUAAUG
Molecule: long non-coding RNA, 3984 nt
Filed under: Piliocolobus tephrosceles (Ugandan red Colobus)
Lineage: Eukaryota; Metazoa; Chordata; Mammalia; Primates; Cercopithecidae
Description: lncRNA (ENSPTEG00000002781.1)
Source: RNAcentral